This 348-nucleotide RNase P RNA is filed under the name uncultured Prevotella sp. RNAcentral describes it as "Bacterial RNase P class A". It matches the Rfam family "Bacterial RNase P class A", at positions 29 to 355 of the family's 367-position model. From Rfam's summary of the family: Ribonuclease P (RNase P) is a ubiquitous endoribonuclease, found in archaea, bacteria and eukarya as well as chloroplasts and mitochondria. Its best characterised activity is the generation of mature 5'-ends of tRNAs by cleaving the 5'-leader elements of precursor-tRNAs. Cellular RNase Ps are ribonucleoproteins. The record is from RNAcentral. Lineage: Bacteria; Pseudomonadati; Bacteroidota; Bacteroidia; Bacteroidales; Prevotellaceae.
GAGAGGGUAGAGCACGAGAGGAAAGUCCGGGCAGCAUAGGACACGCUACUGGUGAAAAUGCCAGCUAUUGGUGACAGUAGGAUAUGGGAGAAGAGAAUGACCGCCUCGCUUCGGUGAGGUAAGGGUGAGAAGGUGGUGUAAGAGACCACCAGCCGGCGGGUGAUCGUCGGGCUGUUCCAUCUAGCGGCUGCAAGUUCGCGUAUACCAUCGGUUGAGGGUUGUCCGCCCAAAACUCCUUGCGGGUUACGAUGGAGGGUGGAAUGCUUGAGCUGUCAGGUAACUGGCAGACUAGAUAAAUGACAGACGCCCUUUCUUUGAAGGGGUACAGAACCCGGCUUAUAGGGACAC